This 497-nucleotide ribosomal RNA is filed under the name uncultured bacterium. RNAcentral describes it as "partial 16S ribosomal RNA". It matches the Rfam family "Bacterial small subunit ribosomal RNA", at positions 28 to 507 of the family's 1533-position model. The record is from RNAcentral.
GACGAACGCUGGCGGCGUGCCUAAUACAUGCAAGUCGAGCGAACAGAUAAGGAGCUUGCUCCUUUGACGUUAGCGGCGGACGGGUGAGUAACACGUGGAUAACCUACCUAUAAGACUGGGAUAACUUCGGGAAACCGGAGCUAAUACCGGAUAACAUAUUGAACCGCAUGGUUCAAUAGUGAAAGGCGGCUUUGCUGUCACUUAUAGAUGGAUCCGCGCCGUAUUAGCUAGUUGGUAAGGUAACGGCUUACCAAGGCAACGAUACGUAGCCGACCUGAGAGGGUGAUCGGCCACACUGGAACUGAGACACGGUCCAGACUCCUACGGGAGGCAGCAGUAGGGAAUCUUCCGCAAUGGGCGAAAGCCUGACGGAGCAACGCCGCGUGAGUGAUGAAGGUCUUCGGAUCGUAAAACUCUGUUAUCAGGGAAGAACAAAUGUGUAAGUAACUGUGCACAUCUUGACGGUACCUGAUCAGAAAGCCACGGCUAACUACGUG